GACGAACGCUGGCGGCGUGCCUAACACAUGCAAGUCGAACGGAAAGGCCCUGCUUGUGUGGGCUGCUGGAGUGGCGAACGGGUGAGUAACACGUGAGUAACCUGCCCUUGACUUUGGGAUAACUUCAGGAAGCGGAAGCUAAUACCGGAUAGGAGCUCCUGCUGCAUGGUGGGGGUUGGAAAGUUUCGGCGGUUGGGGAUGGACUCGCGGCUUAUCAGCUUGUUGGUGGGGUAGUGGCUUACCAAGGCUUUGACGGGUAGCCGGCCUGAGAGGGUGGCCGGCCUCAAUGGGCCUGCGGUACGGCCCAGUCUCGUAUGGUAGGCAACGGGGGGGAGCAUUGUACAGUGGUCCGACGCCUGAUGCGACGGCGCCGCGUGCGGGAUGCCGUCUUGCUGGUUGUGAACCGCAGUCGGCUGAGACGACGCGUUAGUGACGGUAACGGGUGAAUAAGCACCGGCUAACUUCGUG
Molecule: ribosomal RNA, 468 nt
Filed under: uncultured bacterium
Lineage: Bacteria
Description: partial 16S ribosomal RNA
Rfam family: Bacterial small subunit ribosomal RNA
Source: RNAcentral